ACAUGUCAUAUUUGUGAAUGUGAACGGCAGGAUAUCGAGUUUAAGGAUGCUUUAGGGUCAAUGAGAAUGAAAUCAAGAGAGAUAAAGGCUAAAAUGUGAGACUGUCAAUCUGACAAACCUUGCAGUGAAUAAAUGGAAACAGUGGCGUUUGUAUGAUAGAACAGUAAUAGCAGGAGUGAUAAGGACAGAUGCAUGUAGAUGUGUCUUCAUGUCGGAAACACUACUAGAGAAAUUGAAAUAUUUGGGUUUUUCAAAACUUAAAAGAAAUUGGAAUACCAGGAGACUGCUUGCCCUUUGCAAUGUUGGAUGAUGUGAUGUCGAAAGCCUCAUGAAUAUAGUAACUUGACUUAAUCUAAUUAGAAAAAGAAAUGACAUUGAGGAGAAAACUAGUCGCCAGUCUUUCACCAAGAACAUGAGAUAACUUUCCAAUAUUUGAAAUAUCAUAAUAUGUAUAGAACUUUAAUGAGCGAACAGUUUUUCACCAGGAAAAUAAGAUCACUUAUCUAUUUUUGAAAUAUGUAUGAACAGAACUCUAUCAACUUCAAGGUGAGAGUUUAUCACAAAGAACAUGAGAUAGCCUAUGUAGGAACAGAACCACAUUUGUAUAUAGAGGCGCCAGUUCAUCACCAAGAAGAUGAGCUAACUUAUCAAUGUUUGAAAUCUGUUAUACCCCUGCACAACAAAGUUGUAAGGGGGGUAUACUGGAAUCAGCUUGUCCGACCGUCGGGAGUUUGUCAUUUUUUUCUUGUCCGUCCAAUAACUUAAGAUUCCUUUGACCCACAGUCUUCAUAUUUGGCAUGGAGGUAAGUCAUGAUUAGUAGAUGACCUCUUUUAAUUUUGAGAACACCAAGUCAAAGGUCAAGGUCACAGGGUCUUGACUGAAGAAAGCUUUUCUGCCCAAUAACUUAAGAAUCCUUCGACCCACAGUCUUCAUUUUUGGCAUGGAGGUUAGUCAUGAUUAGUAGAUGACCGCUAUUUAUUUUCAGGUCACCAGGUCUAAGGUCAUGGUCACAGGGGCCUUGGCUAAUUAAAGCUUGUCCUCCCAAUUACCUAAGAAUCCUUUGACCCGUAGUCUUCAUAUUUGGCAUGGAGGUUAGUCAAGAUUAGUGAAAUACCCCUAUUGAUUUUGAGGUCACUUGGGCAAAGGUCAAGGUCACAGGGGCUUUUAUUACAAUUAGCUUGUCUGCUCAAAUGGUCUUAUAUAUUCAUCAUAAAACACCUCCAGGCAAGGCUGCAUGAAAUGGGGGGGGGGGGUGUUAUUGAAGUCAUUCAAUGGCAGUUUCAGUUUUGAGGUCAGUAGGUCAAAGGUAAAGUUCACUUUGAUCUUUUCCACUAAAACAUGUAGAAUACAUAACUUAGCAAUGCACUGGCUUACUUCCCUCAGAUUUGGCUGGGAGGUUGUCUGAGCUGUAAAUGACUACUGGUGUGAUUCUGACAAAUUGGUAUGUGGGGGUAUUCACGCCAAGACAAUGGCAGUUCUAGUUUGUACAGAAAAUAUCAAGGUGCAAGUUUCUUUUAUUAAGAAUAGACUUAUUGAUUAGAUAACUUACAAUAUUUACAAACAUUUAUAAUACCAUACCCAUUUAAAGUAUUUCAGCUGAGAGUGUAUUAUCCAAAAUACAUGUAUUGUUAUAAUGUACUUUAUAGUAUAUUUAUUGUAAAGUUUUGAUUCUACUAGAUUUUAAAAACAUUUAGAUUUUACUAGAUCUUGAAAAUAUUUUGUUCCAUGCUCUUUCAUUUAAUUUUGAAUAAUGAAUCCAAUAAAUACCUAUAAUAAGUAUAGGAUUAAAAUUGAUAAUGUUUUCUAUCUUUAACUUAUAUAAAAGUACAAAAGUAAUGUUCAAACUGCUGGUUAGAUUUCAAACAGGACUAAACAGGAGUGUACAGUGCCAUCCUUAGGUGUGCACAUUGUUGGCAUGUUCUCAUCGUCAGAUACCCACGGCCGAACCAUUAACAUUCAUCAUUGAUUGCAUGUUAUGUGACAUGUUUAUCAAUCGUGGGUAUCCAACAAUGGCAUGUUCUGUUUCUCUGCACAAAAUGGCCCCAGAGUUAAAAAAAGAAAAAUCUAUCACAUGUAAAACUGCCAAAAUUCAAAAGAGUGAUCAGAACCAUACACAGUUUUGGGAGACAUGUUUUUGUGACAAAAGCCCUUCAAGUUCAUAUAUGACCUUGACCUUUAUUAGUCCCCUACCGGUUUAACCGGAGGGGACUUUAGGUUUACCCUCCGUCCGUCUGUCCGUCUGUCUGUUAGUCCGUCCGUCCACAAAACUGGAUCCCGCGAUAAUGCAAAAUGUACUGAAAAUAUUUUAAUGAAACUUGAUAUAUGGAUAGAUGGCAGUAUGGAGAUUAUGCACGUCUUUUUUUUUUCUUCCUUUGUUGAAAAUUCUGGUUGCUAUGGCAACAAAUAGCCUGAAAAUAUGGCACAUUGAACACAUAAACUGGAUCCCGCGAUAAAGCAAAAAGUACUGAAAAUAUUUUUAUGAAACUUGAUAUAUGGAUAGAUGGCAGUAUGGAGAUUAUGCACGUCUUUUUUUUUUCUUCCUAUGUGGAAAAUUCUGGUUGCUAUGGCAACAAAUAGCCUGAAAAUAUGGCAAAUUGAACACAUAAACUGGAUCCCGCAAUAACGCAAAAAGUACUAAAAAUAUUUUUAUGAAACUUGAUAUAUGGAUAGAUGGCAGAAUGAAGAUUAUGCAUGUCUUUUUUUUUCUUCCUAUGUUGAAAAUUCUGGUUGCUAUGGCAACAAAUAGCCUGAAUUUCAAGAUUUCUGAUUUAAAUUUUUCAGCUUUUUCACUAUAAGUUCUUUAUUUCUUAAGGUGAUUACUUCAAACUUUAAAUAUAAGUUUCUGGUCAUCAACCACAUCAUAUGUGACAAGGUUUACAACUCUAGCACAAAAAUUAUCAGUAUUACCUCCCUUGAACUUAGAAUUUUUAUGAAAAAAAUGUUGUCUUUUUUAAAUAACUUCUUUAUUUCCUAAUGUAUCUACUUCAAACUUCAUAUAUAUGUUUCUUAUUCUCACUCAACAUUUUUGAGAAGGUUAAAUACUCUAGCAAGACUAUUUCCAGAAUUAUGUCCCCCUUGAACUUAGAUUUUUUUCGAGAAAUUGGUAUUUUUCACUCCAACUUCUUCAUUCAUUAUAGGAUUUACUUUCAAAUCCCACAUCGUAAUAAUAUGACAAGGUUGUAUAAACAUAAUUUCCUUACUAGGCAGGGAAACUUAACACAUUACUGUGAUAUAGACAAACUUAGAACUCAAAAGAUUUAAGUUCAUUCAUGUCAUUCAUUCACUGGUAAAAUUGACUGGCCAAUGGCCCAUCAGAAAGUUGCUGGGGUUCUAACCGGUAGGGGACUUAUGGAUUGCUUGCAAUACUAUGAUAAUUGCUUGUUUGAUAUAAAAUAUCUGGAGUUAGCUGGAAUUGUCAUUACUUUGUUAUUAUUUACAGAUUUGAUUCAUGCUUGGACAAACAAACACAAAACCAACAUGUUGAAUUUUUCUGAUAUAACUUUGACAUUUAAAUGACCAUUACCUCCAAGGUUAAACAAUUGAAAUUCGAUCACAUUGUCAUAACUUUGUUUUUGUCUAUGAUUUGAUUCAUUCUUGGACAAAAGAACAAUUAUCAUUCAACUAUGACCUUUACUAUUCAAAUUUGAAAUUUACUUUAUACAUUUAUAUUAUGUUUUCUAGGAGUACUCUAAUAGAUAUUACAAUAUUCUCCUACUGAUGUGUUUGACUUCCAAUAUAAGAAAAAGCCGAGCAUGGCCCAGGCUAGAUAGUGGCUCUUGUUUUCAAUGCCAACUUGAUUAUAUGUAUCCAUUCCAAUUUACAUUCUCACAUGUAUUAUCUAUUGUGCUUGAAAGGUUUCUACAAAAAACAAGUUUGUUCUUACAGUCCUGGUUUUAUUUUAGAAAUAUUUUAAAGACAGUUAAAUUUUCUGUUUAUUUUCUAUCUGCAUAAUCAUUUCUUGGAAUAAAUAUAGUAAGUA
This is a long non-coding RNA of Ruditapes philippinarum (Manila clam), 3980 nucleotides long. RefSeq lists it as uncharacterized. Lineage: Eukaryota; Metazoa; Mollusca; Bivalvia; Venerida; Veneridae. The transcript has 2 exons. The record is from RefSeq and is a predicted model, not a curated record.